Molecule: long non-coding RNA, 3447 nt
Filed under: Sus scrofa (pig)
Lineage: Eukaryota; Metazoa; Chordata; Mammalia; Artiodactyla; Suidae
Description: lncRNA (ENSSSCG00000060371.1)
Source: RNAcentral
UCCAGGCUCUGUUUGAAUAUCUCCCUUUGUAAAAGUGGUGGAAUCCUCAUUGUGUGAGAAACACACUGAGUGAUGGAUGCUUACGGAAAGCUUUGUCAAGUUCAUUUCCGACUGGAGGUCAGGGAGCGUUUGAAUGACCACAGCAGGGAUGAGGGAUGCAUUAGUCAGGGUCUAGCUCCAGGCAAGAUGGAGCAGGCGCAGUUAGCUGGAAGACCUGGGAGCAGCUGUUUGAGAACUUGUGGAAGGAAAUACCACUGGCUGGGUUGGGGAAGAAGAUCAGAAUUGCGACUUUCAGCAAAUUGAUGGAAUUUUCCUUUUCUCAUGGCCUGACACCCAGACAUAAGCAUCAAGGUGCACAAAGAAAAUUCCAAGGGAAGCCCCCAGAUUCAGGUUCAAGGAGCAACAGAGGUGUCUUGCGAUUAGCAACAGGCAAAAGAGUCUAACCUAGAAAAGGGAGAGUCUUCCUCAUUAAUCAGAGGAGCUGUGGCCUCAAUAAAGUAUCUGUUCAUUGUUUAUGUCCUUCCACCCCUUGGCCUUAACGGUGGCCCAGUUUUGGGAAGGUCAGAGCAGAGAAGGAUAAAUAAACCCAAGGUUUUCGGGAAUGGAAGAGGGGAACCUCAGGGAACUGAAAAGUACUGAAAAGGCUGUGGAAAGAGAAGAACUUGGGAAGCAGCCCCAUGUGUUGUCUACCGAUUCCGAGGCUCGGCCUCCAAAUGCACAAGCAUGGACCAUACCUAUAGCAGCAGACGAAACAAUCAAAAACUCCGCUGAGACAGACUCUGCCUGGGUUCUAGUCUCAGUGUCACCCCCAUGUGACACCCAGAUCAUGUGAGGACUGCACAGACGUUGAAAGUGCCAUGGAUGUUCAAACCACAGCCUACAGAAGACCGGGUGUAACUCACUGCCCAGAUUACCCGCUAAAACGGCGUGGAAGGAAAUUUGGGGCUGCUGCCGCCUGGAUGCCAUGUCAGCAAAACAGAAACUUCAAUAACUUUCUUGUCCCUGUAAAUGUCCCACUUGAUCAGAAAGAGUACAUGCAGACAGUCCCCAAAUACCAAGCCAUCUCUGAGCGCUGUCCUUACUUUUGGGUUCCUUUUCUUUCUUUCUCUCUCUCUCUUUUUAAACCAGCCACACCUGCGACAUGUGGAAGUUCCUGGACCACAGGAUGAAGUGGAGCUGCAGCUGCAGGCCUGCACCACAGCCACAGCAACACUGGAUCUGAGGUGCAUCUGCGACCUACCCUGCUGCAUGCAGCAUCGCCAGAUCCUUAAAGUACUAAGCAAAGCCAGGGAUGGAACCCACACCCUCAUGGAAGCUACAUUGGGUUCUUAACCCUCUGAGCCACAACAGGAACUCCUGGUUCUCUGUUCUCUGUCCUGCAAACACUUCUGACCUUCCCCUUCAUUUUGCAAUGCUCCGAACAGUGACAUCUUCAUAGUGUUAAAUUAAGAUUUUGUGUGUGUGUGUCAUCUAAAUUGGGUUGCUUGCUCAUUCUUUAACAGCAGGAAAUGUCAACCUUCUCCAUAAGCUUUAAAUAAGACCACAAAGUCUUUGUUUAUUUAUGUAUUGCUUUUUAGGGCCGCACCCACGCCAUAUGGAAGUUCCCAGGCUAGGGGUUGAAUCAGAGCUACAGCUGCCGGCCUACACCACAGCCACAGCAAUGCAGGGUCUGAGCCUCAUCUGCAACCUACACCACAGCCCACAGCAACGCUGGAUCCCUGACCCACUGGGCAAGACCAGGGACCGAACCUGCAUCCUCAUGGAUACUACUCAGAUUCAUUGCCGCUGUGCCACAGGGGGAACUCCUCGACCACAAACUCUUAUAAUAGCCGAAGGACUCAGGGUACACCGAAAAUGACUCAGCCUAUGAAGAACCAAGAAAAUCUCAUCCACAUGGGAAAAGGCUUGAAGUAGAUGCAAGGCCAAGGUGACACAGAGGUUGGCGAUAAUCUGCCAAAGACUUUGCUUUAUUUUUAUGUUUUUGCUUUUUAAGGCUGCACCCACAGCAUAUGGAAGUUCCCAAGCUAGGGGGUAAAUUGAAUUGGAGCUUCAGCUGCCAGCCUACACCACAGCUACAGCAACGCGGGAUCCAAGCCGCAUCUGCAACUUACACCACAGCUCACGGCUGGGCCAGAUCCGUAACCCACUGAGCGAGGCCAGGGGUCAAACCCGGACACACAGAGCUUAAAAACGUGCCCCAUUCACAUCGGAUGUUGUUUGGAUCCUCAAAAAAUGCCAUGGGAAAGCAGCUGCAGACAGUUUUGAAUUUAUGUAGAUAUUUUAUUUCUUCGUUCCUGCUGGAAAAUGCCCCUUCCCCUCCUCGCCCCCUUUUUGUUUCUUUUGCUUUGUUUCUUUCUUGCCUUUGCUGGGUCCUGAGUAAGCUGUAAGCUGUUCCUAGGGAAAGCUAGGGCAAUGAUUCUGUUAGUGUGGCCCCAACUUCCAUGCCUUGAAUUUCCUCAAAGAAACAGUCAAGCCACUUCCGGACGUCUUUCAAUUCCAGGUGGCCACAGUCAAGGCCAUGGCGAGGUUGCAUAGUCAGCCGUGCCCAGCUGACUCCCUGAGGAGACAAGUUUUGGUCCGUCUAACCCAGCCUCUGAGAGCUGAGAAACCCUAGGGGGUCCCGAAGUGACACUGGUCUCCAAGGUGGUCCUGAAGACACAGAAGAUGACACAGGAACUCAGCUUUCUCCGCGUUUCAGUAUUUGAGGGGUGACAUUCAGAUGGGAUCCAGCAGGGAUGUGGGAGGAAGGCAGGGAUGUCUCAACGAUCUUCCAGGCUCAAAACAUGGUCCUGGAGCUCGUGGGUGCACGGAGCUGGAUAAGCAGUGGUGGAGCCUCGGCCAGCCCAGGCGGCCGAGACAUAGAAAACCAUAGAAAACCGCAGACGGGGGAGCUUCAUCAACAGACUGUUGCUGUCUCCCAGUUCUGGAGACUGGAAGGCUGAGAUCAAGGAGCCCCCAGGGUUGGUUCCAGGAGAGAGCUCCCUUCCCGACUUGUAUGUGUCUCUUCUUCUUCUUCUUCUUUUGGUCUUUUUAGGACAACACCCACAGCGUAUGGAGGUUCCCAGACUAGGGGUGCAAUUGGAGCUGUAACCGCCAGCCUACACCACAGCCACAGCAAGGGGGGAUCUGAGCCAUAUCUGUGACCUACACCACUGCUCACAGCAACACCAGAUCCUUAACCCACUGAGAAGGGCCAGGGAUGGAACCUGCAUCCUCAUGCAUGCUAGUUGGGUUGGUUACCGCUGAGCCACAGUGGGAGCUCCUGCAUGUGUCUCUUCUUGCUGUGUCCUCACUGGGCUUCUCUGUGCAUUUGGGGGGAGAGAGAGAGAGAGAGAGAGAGAGAGGGAGCGGGAAGAACCUCUGGGGUCUCCUUUUCUUUCUAUAAAGACACUGGCCUAUCAGAUUAAGACCCUAGCCUUAUGACCUUAUUAAAUCUUAAUUCUUUCC